GACGUAGGGCGCGAGCGUUGUCCGGAUUUAUUGGGCGUAAAGGGCUCGUAGGCGGCUUGUUGCGUCUGCCGUGAAAGGCCUCGGCUUAACUGGGGUUUUGCGGUGGAUACGGGCAGGCUUGAGGCAAUUAGGGGAGAUCGGAAUUCUACGUGUAGCGGUGAAAUGCGCAGAUAUGUGGAGGAACACCGGUGGCGAAGGCGGAUCUCUGGGAUUGUUCUGACGCUGAGGAGCGAAAGCGUGGGGAGCGAACAGGAUUAGAAACCCCUGUAGUCC
Molecule: ribosomal RNA, 273 nt
Filed under: uncultured bacterium
Lineage: Bacteria
Description: partial 16S ribosomal RNA
Rfam family: Bacterial small subunit ribosomal RNA
Source: RNAcentral